CCGCAACGAGCGCAACCCUUGUCCUCUGUUGCCAUCAGGUUAUGCUGGGCACUCUGAGGAGACUGCCGGUGAUAAACCGGAGGAAGGUGGGGAUGACGUCAAGUCAGCAUGGCCUUUAUGUCUGGGGCUACACACGUGCUACAAUGGCCGGUACAAACCGUCGCGAUACCGCAAGGUGGAGCUAAUCGGAGAAAGCCGGUCUCAGUUCGGAUUGC
This 215-nucleotide ribosomal RNA is filed under the name uncultured Acidobacteriota bacterium. Its description in RNAcentral is "uncultured Acidobacteria bacterium partial 16S ribosomal RNA". It matches the Rfam family "Bacterial small subunit ribosomal RNA", at positions 1087 to 1301 of the family's 1533-position model. Lineage: Bacteria; Pseudomonadati; Acidobacteriota. The record is from RNAcentral.